Cervus elaphus (red deer) is the source of this 140-nucleotide long non-coding RNA. RefSeq lists it as uncharacterized. NCBI's taxonomy places the organism in Eukaryota, Metazoa, Chordata, Mammalia, Artiodactyla, Cervidae. The transcript is spliced from 3 exons. The record is from RefSeq and is a predicted model, not a curated record.
GUGGAGAAGAACUGGGCCCAUUCUGUUUACCAGUGCUGGCUGCAGGUGGUGCAGUUUUCAGUGCACCUCAUUGGUUUGGUGAGCAUAUUUCUCAGAUGUAAUGGUUUUGCCAGAAUUCAGAAAGCUGCAAUCAGAAUGGC